ACGAACGCUGGCCAAUUACGGCGUGCCUAAUACAUGCAAGUCGAACGCUUCUUUUUCCACCGGAGCUUGCUCCACCGGAAAAAGAGGAGUGGCGAACGGGUGAGUAACACGUGGGUAACCUGCCCAUCAGAAGGGGAUAACACUUGGAAACAGGUGCUAAUACCGACACCGCAUGGUGUUGAUUUGAAAGGCGCUUUCGGGUGUCGCUGAUGGAUGGACCCGCGGUGCAUUAGCUAGUUGGUGAGGUAACGGCUCACCAAGGCCACGAUGCAUAGCCGACCUGAGAGGGUGAUCGGCCACACUGGGACUGAGACACGGCCCAGACUCCUACGGGAGGCAGCAGUAGGGAAUCUUCGGCAAUGGAAGAACAAGAGUGAGAGUAACUGUUCACUCCUUGACGGUAUCUAACCAGAAAGCCACGGCUAACUACGUGCCAGCAGCCGCGGUAAUACGUAGGUGGCAAGCGUUGUCCGGAUUUAUUGGGCGUAAAGCGAGCGCAGGCGGGCGCGAAUCGCGCGCUCUCCUGAGAAGUUUCUUAAGUCUGAUGUGAAAGCCCCCGGCUCAACCGGGGAGGGUCAUUGGAAACUGGGAGACUUGAGUGCAGAAGAGGAGAGUGGAAUUCCAUGUGUAGCGGUGAAAUGCGUAGAUAUAUGGAGGAACACCAGUGGCGAAGGCGGCUCUCUGGUCUGUAACUGACGCUGAGGCUCGAAAGCGUGGGGAGCAAACAGGAUUAGAUACCCUGGUAGUCCACGCCGUAAACGAUGAGUGCUAAGUGUUGGAGGGUUUCCGCCCUUCAGUGCUGCAGCAAACGCAUUAAGCACUCCGCCUGGGGAGUACGUCGCGAUAUCGCGCGAUAUAUAUGCGCACCGCAAGGUUGAAACUCAAAGGAAUUGACGGGGGCCCGCACAAGCGGUGGAGCAUGUGGUUUAAUUCGAAGCAACGCGAAGAACCUUACCAGGUCUUGACAUCCUUUGACCACUCUAGAGAUAGAGCUUCCCCUUCGGGGGCAAAGUGACAGGUGGUGCAUGGUUGUCGUCAGCUCGUGUCGUGAGAUGUUGGGUUAAGUCCCCCUUAUUGUUAGUUGCCAUCAUUUAGUUGGGCACUCUAGCGAGACUGCCGGUGACAAACCGGAGGAAGGUGGGGAUGACGUCAAAUCAUCAUGCCCCUUAUGACCUGGGCUACACACGUGCUACAAUGGGAAGUACAACGAGUUGCGAAGUCGCGAGGCUAAGCUAAUCUCUUAAUAGGCUGCAACUCGCCUACAUGAAGCCGGAAUCGCUAGUAAUCGCGGAUCAGCACGCCGCGGUGAAUACGUUCCCGGGCCUUGUACACACCGCCCGUCACACCACGAGAGUUUGUAACAUCCCCGAUAUAUAGAGCGCGCCUCUCUGAAGAGAUCCUCGCCCGAAGUCGGUGAGGUAACCUUUAUGGAGCCAGCCGCCUAAGGUGGGAUAGAUGAUUGGGGUGAAG
RNAcentral lists this ribosomal RNA (1470 nucleotides) under Enterococcus dispar. RNAcentral's name for it is "partial 16S ribosomal RNA". It matches the Rfam family "Bacterial small subunit ribosomal RNA". The record is from RNAcentral. Lineage: Bacteria; Bacillati; Bacillota; Bacilli; Lactobacillales; Enterococcaceae.